RNAcentral lists this ribosomal RNA (253 nucleotides) under uncultured bacterium. RNAcentral describes it as "partial 16S ribosomal RNA". It matches the Rfam family "Bacterial small subunit ribosomal RNA", at positions 524 to 776 of the family's 1533-position model. The record is from RNAcentral.
UACGGAGGGGGCUAGCGUUGUUCGGAAUUACUGGGCGUAAAGCGCACGUAGGCGGAUUGGAAAGUUGGGGGUGAAAUCCCAGGGCUCAACCCUGGAACUGCCUUCAAAACUCCCAGUCUGGAGGUCGAGAGAGGUGAGUGGAAUUCCGAGUGUAGAGGUGAAAUUCGUAGAUAUUCGGAGGAACACCAGUGGCGAAGGCGACUCACUGGCUCGAUACUGACGCUGAGGUGCGAAAGCGUGGGGAGCAAACAGG